UACGGAGGGGGCUAGCGUUGUUCGGAAUUACUGGGCGUAAAGCGCACGUAGGCGGCUUUGUAAGUUAGAGGUGAAAGCCCGGGGCUCAACUCCGGAAUUGCCUUUAAGACUGCAUCGCUAGAAUCGUGGAGAGGUAAGUGGAAUUCCGAGUGUAGAGGUGAAAUUCGUAGAUAUUCGGAAGAACACCAGUGGCGAAGGCGACUUACUGGACACAUAUUGACGCUGAGGUGCGAAAGCGUGGGGAGCAAACAGG
RNAcentral lists this ribosomal RNA (253 nucleotides) under uncultured bacterium. RNAcentral describes it as "partial 16S ribosomal RNA". It matches the Rfam family "Bacterial small subunit ribosomal RNA", at positions 524 to 776 of the family's 1533-position model. The record is from RNAcentral.